CCAAUAGCGUAUAUUAAAGUUGUUGCAGUUAAAAAGCUCGUAGUUGAAUUUCGGGACUAAUAUGUCGGUCGUACUUUGUACGUACUAGCAUUAUUGGUUUCUCCCUUCUGACGAACCACGAUGUCAUUAAUUUGGUGUCGCGGGAAAUCAGGACUGUUACUUUGAAAAAAUUAGAGUGUUUAAAGCAAGCUCGCGCUUGAAUACAUUAGCAUGGAAUAAU
RNAcentral lists this ribosomal RNA (220 nucleotides) under uncultured Glomus. RNAcentral describes it as "partial small subunit ribosomal RNA". It matches the Rfam family "Eukaryotic small subunit ribosomal RNA", at positions 591 to 818 of the family's 1831-position model. The record is from RNAcentral. Lineage: Eukaryota; Fungi; Glomeromycota; Glomeromycetes; Glomerales; Glomeraceae.